CCUACGGGAGGCAGCAGUGAGGAAUAUUGGUCAAUGGACGAGAGUCUGAACCAGCCAAGUAGCGUGAAGGAUGACUGCCCUAUGGGUUGUAAACUUCUUUUAUAUGGGACUAAAAUGUUCCACGUGUGGGAUUUUGUAUGUACCAUAUGAAUAAGGAUCGGCUAACUCCGUGCCAGCAGCCGCGGUAAUACGGAGGAUCCGAGCGUUAUCCGGAUUUAUUGGGUUUAAAGGGAGCGUAGGUGGAUUGUUAAGUCAGUUGUGAAAGUUUGCGGCUCAACCGUAAAAUUGCAGUUGAAACUGGCAGUCUGGAGUACAGUAGAGGUGGGCGGAAUUCGUGGUGUAGCGGUGAAAUGCUUAGAUAUCACGAAGAACGCCGAUUGCGAAGGCAGCUCACUGGACUGCAACUGACACUGAGGCUCGAAAGUGUGGGUAUCAAACAGGAUUAGAUACCCCAGUAGUC
This 460-nucleotide ribosomal RNA is filed under the name uncultured bacterium. RNAcentral's name for it is "partial 16S ribosomal RNA". It matches the Rfam family "Bacterial small subunit ribosomal RNA", at positions 338 to 795 of the family's 1533-position model. The record is from RNAcentral.